GCCCCCGCCUGCCCCGCCCGGCGCCGCACCACGUGGGCCAGGCGCCCCACGCCUGGAGCUCCCCUCUCUGGAGCCCCGGGAAAGGAAGCGGGGCAGGGAGGCCGGGUGGGAGCAGGGGGGUCUCCGGCGCUUCCUCUCCUCUGCGGGCGCCGCGCGGCUCCUGAGAGUCCGCCCCCCGUCCUGACGCUCAGCUAGGAAGCGGGUCCUCGGGCCCCUCCCCCGACACACACACACACACACACACACACACACACACACACACACACUCUCUCUCUCUCUCUCUCUCUCUCUCUCUCUCUCUCUCUCUCUCACACACACACACACACACACAGCCCGUCUCGCGCCUGAGGUCUCGCCCGCAGGCCGGUGGCGCGGGGUCAGCUGCUGCCUGCGGUCCAGGACAGGGUCGGUUCCGCCGCGCAGCGCCCAGGCCCAGCUCGUCCAGAGUCUGCGGACAGCGCACGUCCAGGUUGCAGUGAUCACCAGGGGAGGUGCUGGGCGUGCAGGCUGCCACAGGAGGGGUGGGGAGGCACUUUCCCACACAGGAUGGAGCCGGGCCACCCUCACAGCUCCUGCCCUGCAGACGCUGGCCUUGUGGAGGGAGGCAGGCAGCAGGAGCAGUGCUUUCUGGGCCUCUGUAGCCAGAGCUGGCCCUGCUGCAGCUUACGUCUGCCUGCAGCCCAGACGUCCUCCUGGUCCUCCUGAUGCCCCCGACCUCCACGGAGGACGAGCAUUUCCAGCCCAGCCCUCCCCAUCUUCACCUCGCACUCCCCUGACACACUGGGAGCCUCCUGAUCCGUGAACCCGCGCUGGCGGGAGUAGCUACUGACCGCUGGGGACCCCUGCCCAGGCUGUUCGCAUGUGGAAAGGAUUCAGGGAGCAGGCGAUGCCCAAAGCGUGGAGACCAGCACUGCUCUCUCCCCAGUGACAGGUGCACGCCCAGAUCACGGAUGUGUCGGGAACAGCUGUGCUCCUGCUGCUCAGCGUCCGUCACUCCAGGCUGGGAGCGGGUCCCCAAGCUUCUGGCUGGGCCUAUCCGUCUCCACUCUCAGUGUGGGGGUGGGGGGCGCCAACAGCACGCAUUUGCUCUCUGCACUUCUCGUCUGAUAAUGGGCAGAGGGUCCUUCUGCAGCCCCAAAACAUCCCUAGGCAGGAGCCCUGGGGCCCCAAGCAGCCAGGGAGGUGAGCACCAAGGACCUCCCAGAGAGCGUCACCUUCCGUCGAGGGAGGCCCAGCCUGGGGGCGGUGUCUGAGACUUGGAAUCAACGCUUCCGUUGGUGGCAGUAAAUCCUGUCCCUAACCCUGCAGUACAGCUGUGCCGUGUACAGGAGGGUGCUGUCUGACGCCAGACACCUGGACUACAGAUCGCAGCCUGAUUCCUGGUCAUUGCUCCACUGAACCCCAGACCCCAGCCUCGUUCUGGGCCCUCAUCCCCUAGAUCCAGGGACCCCAGCCCCAUUUCAGCCCUUGGGCCCUUGUAGGAUGCGAGGCCCUGGGCCCCAGCCCCCAGCCCAUCCGUGGCCCAGGCACUGGGGGGCUGAGGUCCUCUGAGAAGGGACACAGGGCCUGGGGGGCUCUCUCAGCCCAUCAGCAGGAGAGGACUGACUCCAGAAAAAUCAGCGUUUGUACCCACUCAGGCUGCCAAGACCUGUGUCCGUCCUUCCAAGCUCAACCUUCAGAGUUCAUGAGGCCCCUUGCCCAGAAUGUCCACAGAGUUCAUGAGGCCCCUUGCCCGGAAUGUCCACAUUUGAAACCUCCCAACACCGAGCCCCAUUUCAAGUAUAACCAGGAGGGAAAAUGGUGCUUGAAAUAAGCAUGCCACAAAGGAAAACCUGCUUUCUCGAAAUGGGCCCUGGCCGCCCAGGCCCUGACCUCCCCGGCCAGGAUGGAACGUUCCAGAGACCCAUUAGUGCCAAAGGCAAAUGAAAACACACCCUGUGAAAAUGUC
Long non-coding RNA from Homo sapiens (human), 1948 nucleotides. Ensembl annotates it as cytoplasmic endogenous regulator of oxidative phosphorylation 1. Its record names the gene CEROX1. The record is from Ensembl. NCBI's taxonomy places the organism in Eukaryota, Metazoa, Chordata, Mammalia, Primates, Hominidae.